This is a long non-coding RNA of Falco peregrinus (peregrine falcon), 5912 nucleotides long. RefSeq lists it as uncharacterized. The record is from RefSeq and is a predicted model, not a curated record. Lineage: Eukaryota; Metazoa; Chordata; Aves; Falconiformes; Falconidae. The transcript is spliced from 2 exons.
GAAAAUUUUCCCAUUUACUACAGUUGGCAUUACAUUGGUCUCCUAAUAAAAAAACAGUGUUAAUUUUAGAAAAUCAGUAUUUCCUAUUUUAGAGGAAGUAUGUAAAUUACUGUUGAUUCUUUAAAUGAGUAAGAAGUAAAAAACCUAUCAUAUGGUAUCAUUUACAGUGGUCUUGUAAUUUUAGUAUCUGUUCUGGUAAUAAGAAGAAUGUUGGCACAAUAAAAUCCAACCCAAAUACUUGAAACAGAAAUACACUUUUCUUACUAUGAAUUUCUUAGUCUUUCAGCCCUCUGCGUGCUAUAAAACUCAAUAGUUUUUAGUUUUAAGUCUUGAAUGUUCUCCUUGAUUGAGCAAUUAGAUUCUUUCUUUGCAGUUUUUAAGGCUUGUAGUCAGGCCCAGGACAUGGAGUCAGCUUAGCUCUGUCCUCUGUUGUGUUAAAGGCUCCCAGUGUGACCGCAGACAUGUAGUUUUAGCACUAAAAUUGGACAGAUUUUUAUUAGAGACUUGCCACUGACUUUUAUUGGAAUGAGAGCUCUUCUUGCUCUUCGGUUUUUCCCUCUGUAAACUGGGGGUGAUAUUUGUAUUUGCCUCAGAGGUUACGUGUGGACAAAUGCUUGAAAAAUGUGGAGGUCAGUAAUGGUAGGAGGCUUAGAAAUCUUUGAUAGAAGUUACAUGCAUACUUUCAGGGUAGAGUUUGUUCUUUCUAUAACAAAAGUAAAGAAAGCUAGAGAGAUUAAGCAGGUGGCAGCUGCUGAUAACAUCCUGACAGAGUACUGUGAUUACAUUUCUUUUUUUAAGUCAAUUGGAAGACUUUGGCACUACCAUGAAAUAGUGCUUGUCAUAUAUUUCUGUGAUACAGUCUUCAAAGAACAUUUUUUCCGAUUCUGAGAGAAAGGUAAAUAUGAGCCUAUGCAUUCUUUGAAGAAAACAUUUUUCCUUCAGAUAUUGGUUAACCAACCAUGUAUGUUAUUUAUUCUCAUGGUUAUUCAGUCUGGAAUCCACUGACGAUGCUUUAGGCUUUUAAUUGCUGAACUGAUCUUGGUUGUUUAGUUUUUGGAACAGCCACUACAGGCAGACCUAUACUCUGCAUUUAGUUUUGAGUACCUUUGCCCCUUGAUAAAAAAGGGUAAGUGCUAUGUUCUUAGGAGGAGGAACUAACGCGUGUGAACCAAGCCCAAGAUGAAAACACCAAAAAGGCCAAUAAGUUGCUUGAAUUUACAAGGGCAUAUUCACGUGACCAGAGUUUGUGGUAAAAAAAUAAUAAUCUUAAAGUAUGUUGUAGAUAUGCUUGCCUUGAUAGAUGCGUCUGUGUCCUGACUGAUGAGACCUAGUCAUGCAACUCUAUCCUUCCCCACCCAAACUGUGCUGUUAGAUGUCAGAGCAAAUACACUGUGCUUGUCAGAGUUUAUGUACGGUGCUACAAGUUAUGAAGGCCCAUCUCAGAUUAGUGGCAACAAAAUGGCUAGAUUUUAUCAACUGAUACAGCAUUGCACAGAAAGCUUUGGUAUGAGUGUCUUACAGGCCUUUGCUGUCUGGACACUUAAAACAUGUAUGUCCCUAAACAGAAAGAGUAAGAUAUCAUAGAAAUUACUUCACUGUUCUUUAACAGAAACACUUUCUGUUCAUAUCUGGCCUUGUGUGUUAACUGAAGUCUCUUCUUCCUUCUCUAGCAGAACACUUUAACCUCCAAAACAGUAUUUUGCAGUUUAUAGAGCCUGUUACAGCAUGUAAGUGUUAACAAUAAAGAUAAAUACUUUUCCAUUAAUAAAAUGAGCUCAUAGUCAGAAUUAUUUCCUCAAGGUAAAUCUUAGUUUCUACAAACUGAAAAUUUUCUAGUGAACAUUACUUUUUGUAAGAGACUAUUCAUUUCUGCAGGUAACUAUAGAUCAGAUUCCCUGAGCUUUUGUUUCUGUCACUGAUUACUGGCUUAAUAUGAAUUUGUAGAUGAGUAGUUUCAGCUUUGUGCCCUUGUUUCACCUGUCUGUAAAACGGAUAUUAUAAUCUCCUGUCUCUGAAGGAACUCUUAGAUUUUAAACUGCUCAAAGCUAGGAGCAAUUCCUUUAUGUGCUGUGCUUCAGCCUACAAAAGUGUCAGUUCUGGGUGGGAAGCUGAGGGACUACCAGGGUAAAAGUUUAAACAAUUAAUCAAGGUAAACAUUGUGACUUGUUUAAUAAUUUUGUUUGUUUUGUUAAUCCUUCUGAGAUAUUUUUGGAUGAAAAAUGUAAACAUCACAAGGCUUUUCUCUGCAACACUGUUACAGAUGCAUGCGAUUGUCGUGAUUGGGUCUGAAAUGUGUGCCCAUGGAGCUGAAGCUGCCAAGCAUGCUGCUAAGAAACUGUCUUGUGACUGUUCUGCUCUGUUGUUUGGGGUUUCUUUUAUGAAACCUCUGUUGGCCAGUCCUUAGUCCCAGUUGCUCAUGCUUUAACCCAUCUCAGGAUGCUAUUAUAUAUUAUUUUGUAAGCUAAUUGAAUUUGGCCAGAUGAGAAAAAAAUGCACAUGUGAGGUGCAGGAUAGUAGGGAAUUCAUUCUUUUCCUCUCAGGUUGUACUCAUGAACAGCUGCCCAUGUUUUUAUGGGGCCCACUGACACAAGUGAGUGCGGACAUCCACUGAUGCAAGCACAGACAGGAUGCAGGUGUUCACGUUAUUUUAGCCAGGUGUAACUGUGGUGUUGCUUGUGCUAAUGCAGGGCAUGCACUUUAACAUGUCAUGUCACAGCAUUUGACAGUGGCCAGAAACCUUUGUUCUUUACCCAGUAGAAGACAGAAAUGAGAGUUCAUGCUGAAUUACAGAAAUACAUGGAUUCAUUUACUUCAUGCAUGUAUUGAAAGUGGUUAGAUUAUAAUUUUCUGGUGAUUUUUUGUAAUAAAUAAAGAAAAAUAUGUGCCUCUAUUCAAAGUAGUUUUAUCUUGUGCUAGGUACUUUAAGAGCUUCUGGUAAUAAUUGUUUCUGAGUCUUGAGGGAAUUGCUUAUUUGCUAUUAUAUUCAACGUUUAUUUGUAGCUCAUUGUUCUGAUUAAAUUAAAAGUAGCAAAGUCAGAAAAAUCCUAGUUUCUAAGCAGGGAGAUACUAUAGUACUUGGUAACCACCCAGUUACUGGUAUUUUUUCUUUGCUUGCUCUUUUGUGCUCUGUAGCUUGUGUUAGCAUUUCUAAAUAUAUUCUGAUAUACACUUUUUCAUGGGUUACAAGACUACAAGAUCUUGUGUGACAAUAUCCCUUCUAUCUUAGCAGGAAUUUAAGAACCAAACCACUGAUUUCAUUUAUGUGUAAAUAAAAAAGACUCAGUCAAAGAAUGGCAAGAUACUUAAGAAUUUUGGGACUUCAUUUGGAUGUGAUAUUUUGUGUAUCUUAAACUCAGACUUUUCUUUUUUUCACAUAUCUGUCCAAGAAAGCUUGAGUUAUCACAAAGAUGAUUUUACAGUUUAUUACCCAAAAAGAUUUCUCUGACUUCAUUUACUAUUAUUCAUUUGCAUUGUUAGCAUUCAGCUCUUUGGGAAUAUAACUUUGUACCCCUGGGAGCACGCUUUUUUCUGAAAUCACAAUGAAAUAUGUGUUUGCUAAUUUAUAUCACAUCAGGAUUGUCUUUGCUAAUUUACUGGACAAACAAACUGUGUAUCUUUAUGCAGAAGGAGAGAGAGAGAAGUGAGAGCUGUAGAGGACUGCUGCCUCAGACCUGCUGUUGCCAUAGAGCCGCUCACAAUGAAAAAAACUGCAGCAUGGAUUUCUUCUGCUGUUGAAGUAUUACUAACUCAGAAGAAAUGCUGAACGUUAAGCCUACUAAACCUUUCCUGGCAAUCACAAAACUCUGGUUCCAAGAUCAGAAACCCCUGUGGCAAAAAAUCUGCCGUCUGCUGGCCAAGGAGAGAAGUACCCACCAAGCAUUGCAACGCACAGGCUGGAGCGCAUCAGCAUGAUUUCAGCAUUGGGAGAAACUGGCAGUUUUGCACAGCUCUUCAGCAGUAGAUCUGAAACAGGCCUGGUCAGUAGUUUUCUGACAGCAUAUUUUUCUAUCAGAAAGUGCUGUUUUGUUAUAAUUAAAGCUUUCUGUGGGAACGUGUCAAUGAGAAAUUUGAAUGUUCCGUUCUAAAAAUAGCGGAACAUUCUGUUUCAAAAUUUUUAAACUGGAACAUGUAGGGUUUUAUUCCAGAAUUUUUUUUAGAGUAAUUAUUUUUGUACCUUAUAAAAAGAAGUAGUUGAAAUUGUUGUCUUUGUAUCAAACAUUAAUGAAACCUCUCAUCAUCACUGUAAUGUGGUCAAUUCAAGGCAGUCAAGAAUCUAGGAGUCUUGGCUUUUUUUACCCUGUUCUGACCACUUAGACUAUGUCUCACUACUUGUGGUCAUACAUGUAUGCUCUGUAGGGAGACUAGGUCGAGAAUGGCUCUUUUUUCAUUCAGAUGAGGGCGAUCGGAGAUGGGAAGAAAACUUUUCUCAUCUCUGCAUCUUUGUUUCUUUUAUUGUAAUUUUGCAUUAAUUACUUGCUACAGUAAUUUAAAUAAAAAACUGUUUUGAGUGUGUACCUCUUUUAAUAAUACAGCAUACACAAAGAGUUCCCAGUUAUAACCAAAAUCAUACCAGUCAAUAUUCAGAAAAAAGAAAAGAAGCAAACAAGUAAAGGGAACUCUCAAGGCUUUUCUUUGCCUAGCUUCUAAGUUUAGUACUUGUCAUGUGCUAAAAAGAAAAGAUAGAUUUUGUGUUUUAUCCUGCAAGGAAAAGAAUGAAAUGAAAAAAGGCACGAUUUGAUUUGUGAUAGUUCCAUGUGCUAUUAUUUUUAUAUCUUACCUUAAAAUGGGGUUCAAGCUAGGUUGUAUGACUUCUAAAACAUUGGUAACUUUGUUUUUCAGAAAGAAAGGAAAUAAAGCCUUCUGAUUGUAUACAUUGCAUACAUUGAUCCAUACAGAGGGAAAACAUAUUUUAUUUUGCCAAAAAUAUUUGGUGCUCUUUAGCUGAUGUAUCCUACCAAAAACUCAACUGUUAGAAGAUAUCCAGAAUAGAAAAUUCAGUCCAGUCUCUAAAUUAUGCACAACCUAAUAAUGGAAAAAGGCAGGCAAUUUUUAGGUAAUUCACAUGUUUGUCAUCAGAUUUUGUCAUCUGAUCUGUAAUAUAUGUGUACCUCUGCCACAUGAAAACCUGUCAACCUUAGUGCCUCUACUGUGUAGUUAACAUAAUACACAUAGGGAAUAAUAAAGCUGCUUCGUUUAGGAUUCUCUCAGCUGUCCCCAUUCUCUGAUUCAACAGAACAACCUGCUAGUGAUAGACUGGUGGUAAUAACUAAUUUGUGUAAAGAAAUUGAAAGGUAAAACAGGUUCCUUUGUUUUAUUUUGUUCUUUAAAAGAUUCACUCCAGUAAAUUAGAGAAGUAUUAUUUCAGAUAUCUAAGAAAGGCAUCUUUGCUCUAUAUUGGCUGUCUUUUGUCUUACCCAUAUUUGAUUGAGAUUUUUCAUGUAAUCUGCGAAAUUCUCUGUGUCAUUGUUCUAAACUUAAUACAGUGAGAUUUGAUGCAGUGAUUCACUUUGUGCUUAUAGUAACUUGAGGCAGAUGAGAUAGAAUUUUAACUUCUGCAGCAGAAGGCUGUUGACUUGCCUGGUCCCUUUGCUAGACUGGUUCUGAAUCAUUGGUGCCAUUGCCUGAUAUACAUCUUUGCAAAUAUAUGCAAAUACAGAAUAUUGCUGCAUGGUCUUAGGUCCCCAGAAAUACUGGUGACCUACUUGAGUAUCUUAGCUAACAGAAUAGAAGCUUUUAUCUCUUAACAUUUUAUACAUUUCAAAAGGCAGUAUUUUUCUUAUUUUUCUAUGUAUAAUUUCUGAAAAGGAUCCUACAAUGUUUGAAUUAUACUAAAGCAUCUGAGAGAUCAAAGAGUUUCUCAUUUUCAGGAGUUGAGUUUUGUGUUGCUGGAUUGAUGUUUUCUACUGUGGAAG